GUGUUGGUGGUUCAGUGGUAGAAUUCUUGCCCUCCAUGCAAGAGAUCUGGGUUCGAUUCCCAGCUGAUGCC
This 71-nucleotide transfer RNA is filed under the name Loxodonta africana (African savanna elephant). It matches the Rfam family "tRNA". From Rfam's summary of the family: Transfer RNA (tRNA) molecules are approximately 80 nucleotides in length. Lineage: Eukaryota; Metazoa; Chordata; Mammalia; Proboscidea; Elephantidae. The record is from Rfam by way of RNAcentral.